Non-coding RNA from Schistosoma rodhaini, 45 nucleotides. The record is from Rfam. Lineage: Eukaryota; Metazoa; Platyhelminthes; Trematoda; Strigeidida; Schistosomatidae.
AUCCAGCUGGCGUGUCCCAUAUAAGACAAAACGCGUGUCCUGGAU